This 537-nucleotide ribosomal RNA is filed under the name uncultured bacterium. RNAcentral describes it as "partial 16S ribosomal RNA". It matches the Rfam family "Bacterial small subunit ribosomal RNA", at positions 355 to 901 of the family's 1533-position model. The record is from RNAcentral.
UGGGGAAUAUUGCACAAUGGGCGAAAGCCUGAUGCAGCAACGCCGCGUGAGGGACGACGGCCUUCGGGUUGUAAACCUCUUUUAGCAAGGAAGAAGCGAAAGUGACGGUACUUGCAGAAAAAGCGCCGGCUAACUACGUGCCAGCAGCCGCGGUAAUACGUAGGGCGCAAGCGUUAUCCGGAAUUAUUGGGCGUAAAGAGCUCGUAGGCGGUUUGUCGCGUCUGCUGUGAAAACCCGAGGCUCAACCUCGGGCCUGCAGUGGGUACGGGCAGACUAGAGUGCGGUAGGGGAGAUUGGAACUCCUGGUGUAGCGGUGGAAUGCGCAGAUAUCAGGAAGAACACCGAUGGCGAAGGCAGAUCUCCGGGCCGUAACUGACGCUGAGGAGCGAAAGGGUGGGGAGCAAACAGGCUUAGAUACCCUGGUAGUCCACCCCGUAAACGUUGGGAACUAGUUGUGGGGUCCAUUCCACGGAUUCCGUGACGCAGCUAACGCAUUAAGUUCCCCGCCUGGGGAGUACGGCCGCAAGGCCUAAAACU